Molecule: ribosomal RNA, 329 nt
Filed under: uncultured Halorubrum sp.
Lineage: Archaea; Methanobacteriati; Methanobacteriota; Halobacteria; Halobacteriales; Haloferacaceae
Description: bacterial SSU rRNA
Rfam family: Archaeal small subunit ribosomal RNA
Source: RNAcentral
AGUGCGAUAGGGGGAUCCCAAGUGCACAGGCAUAGCGCCUGUGCUUUUCGGCACCCUAAGGCGGUGCCAGAAUAAGGGCUGGGCAAGACCGGUGCCAGCCGCCGCGGUAAUACCGGCAGCCCAAGUGAUGGCCGAUCUUAUUGGGCCUAAAGCGUCCGUAGCUGGCCGCGCAAGUCCAUCGGGAAAUCCACCUGCUCAACAGGUGGGCGCCCGGUAGAAACUGCGUGGCUUGGGACCGGAAGGCGCGACGGGUACGUCCGGGGUAGGAGUGAAAUCCCGUAAUCCUGGACGGACCGCCGAUGGCGAAAGCACGUCGCGAGAACGGAUCC